UCGCGGCUUAUCACCGGCAGUCCCCUUAGAGUGCCCAACUGAAUGAUGGCAACUAAGGGCGAGGGUUGCGCUCGUUGCGGGACUUAACCCAACACCUCACGGCACGAGCUGACGACAGCCUUGCAGCACCUGAACCAGCAGUCCCCGAAGGGAAAGUCCUAUUUCUAGGACGGUCCACCGUUGUCUAGCCCAGGUAAGGUUCUUCGCGUUGCGUCGAAUUGAACCACAUGCUCCACCGCUUGUGCGGGCCCCCGUCAAUUCCUUUGAGUUUUAACCUUGCGGCCGUACUCCCCAGGCGGUCAACUUCACGCGUUAGCUUCGUUACCAAGGAAUUGCUUCCCCGACAACCAGUUGACAUAGUUUAGGGCGUGGACUAC
This 377-nucleotide unclassified non-coding RNA is filed under the name uncultured Pseudomonadota bacterium. RNAcentral's name for it is "uncultured proteobacterium contains 16S-23S intergenic spacer region". Lineage: Bacteria; Pseudomonadati; Pseudomonadota. The record is from RNAcentral.